CUACGUGCCAGCAGCCGCGGUAAUACGUAUGUCGCAAGCGUUAUCCGGAAUUAUUGGGCAUAAAGGGCAUCUAGGCGGCCAGAUAAGUCUGGGGUGAAAACUUGCGGCUCAACCGCAAGCCUGCCCUGGAAACUAUGUGGCUAGAGUACUGGAGAGGUGGACGGAACUGCACGAGUAGAGGUGAAAUUCGUAGAUAUGUGCAGGAAUGCCGAUGAUGAAGAUAGUUCACUGGACGGUAACUGACGCUGAAGUGCGAAAGCUAGGGGAGCAAACAGGAUUAGAUACCCUGGUAGUCCUAGCUGUAAACGAUGAUUACUGGGUGUGGGCAUGAAGAGUGUCCGUGCCGAAGCUAAUGCGAUAAGUAAUCCGCCUGGGGAGUACGGCCGCAAGGCUGAAACUCAAAGGAAUUGACGGGGACCCGCACAAGCGGUGGAGCAUGUGGUUUAAUUCGACGCAACGCGAGGAACCUUACCAGAUCUUGACAUUGAUGGACAGAACUAGAGAUAG
Molecule: ribosomal RNA, 507 nt
Filed under: uncultured bacterium
Lineage: Bacteria
Description: bacterial SSU rRNA
Rfam family: Bacterial small subunit ribosomal RNA
Source: RNAcentral